Molecule: ribosomal RNA, 207 nt
Filed under: uncultured bacterium
Lineage: Bacteria
Description: partial 16S ribosomal RNA
Rfam family: Bacterial small subunit ribosomal RNA
Source: RNAcentral
UGCGUAGGUGGCCUUUUAAGUUGGAUGUGAAAUACCCGGGCUUAACUUGGGGGGUGCAUCCAAAACUGGGAGGCUAGAGUGCAGGAGAGGAAAGCGGAAUUCCUAGUGUAGCGGUGAAAUGCGUAGAUAUUAGGAGGAACACCAGUGGCGAAGGCGGCUUUCUGGACUGUAACUGACACUGAGGCACGAAAGCGUGGGGAGCAAACA